GGCAGUGUAGUGUAAUCGGUAAGGGGUUGGUCUCGUAACCUAAAGGUCGCAGGUUCGAUUCCCGGCGGGGACA
This 73-nucleotide transfer RNA is filed under the name Anguilla anguilla (European eel). Its description in RNAcentral is "tRNA-OTHER". Lineage: Eukaryota; Metazoa; Chordata; Actinopteri; Anguilliformes; Anguillidae. The record is from RNAcentral.